UGGGGCACGGUGGGGGCUGGGCUGGGGGAGCGCUCAUUAACAUUCUUACAUCAGGGCUCCUCCCCGCACCCCUUCCUUUCCCACCCCUCAGCCGUCCCUAACCCCGGCUCCCCGCUAGCCCUGGGCCUUCCCUUAAAGCCGAAGUCGCCCGCGUCUACGCCGGCAGGAGCCCCCACCGCCCCGCACCGCCUCCGGGGCCCCCGCCUCUCCCCCAGCGUAGCACGGGCGCGCUCUCCCCAGCGUCCAGCCUUAAAAAUGAAAAUGCUUUCGAAAGUACAGGAAUGCGCGCAGGCACACGCACGCACGCACACCACGUGCAAAAAUAAACAGGAUCAGAGAAAGGAGUGGUCCUUCAAACAUGGUCUUUUCGGUGCAAACACCCGUAGGUCCGGCUCGCUCUCGCCUCUUCCUCACUCCGGCCACCUUCCCUCUGACACCCUCCCUUCCCCAGCACGAGGUAAGGGAGCAGGGACCCGGGACCCUGAACAGGCGGCGGGAUCGCGAACCGGGAGCGCCCCGCUGGGCUCAGCGUUCAGCCCACCCCUCCUCCCCGAGCCCAGGCCCGGCCCCCGCCCCCGCCCCCGGGCAGCGCCGGUGCCCCCCAGAGGUGUCCGCCAGAGGUGCCCGCUAAGCCUCCGCGUUGUGGGGAUGCCGGGCCCCGCGCAUAGACCCUCGGCCGCGGUGCUGCGAGCAGGAAAGCGAAACUUGUUGCUCCCAACAGCGAGCGAAGGGUUGGUCUUCUUGAGGCGGCGAAGAGCCUGAGAAGCAUCCUCCAGGCGUCCUCCGGGCCCAGACACCAAGGCCCCAAAGAGCCAUCCCUGCAAAUCGGGGUUCCAGAGACGCGGCAUCUCCAGGCGUCAGCGCUCGCCCCCAUUCAUAGCAUCCUCCGUGCAGGUCUUUCUGGAACUGAAAAUCUCUGUGAAAUAACACCCCUGCCUACAUUCAUCCUCUGCUAGCCGGCCAGACAGCGUUACAUGGGAAACCUUAGCAUGUGGUUCUUUGUUAGAAAUGCCAUCAGAGUUUUCUCCACCAACUGUCGUCCGUCUGACCUUCUCCCCAAAAUCCUGGUGGCACCCUCUAAAGUCGGAAGGAGCCCUUCCAGGUUGUCAAAGAGUCUCCUCUUCCUGUCAAGCCAUCCCUGAAGUCACACUGGAGACCGUCCCCAACACCGUAGCCCACAAAGAAAAUACCUUCCGAGGACGGAAUUGUUGAAAACACACUUCCCCCUAGAGGCAGAAAAGAUGAAACAAUAUUGCACAGAAUUCAGGAAUAUGUUUGUCGUGAAAUGAGUGCUGGGAUUUUAUUUUUAACAUGCAGUUGGUGUUUCUGAGAAAACAUUCAAGAUGUGGGAGGAAAAUCAAUGAAAAAAUUAAAACUUUGCCUCUAGGUCUUAGCUUUCCUUAGCAGGGACUCUGUUAAUUGGGCCCUUCCUUUUGUUUUGUGUUAAUACAAAUCUAAGAUUUUUUUGCCAGCACUAAAAAUAAUGGUGAUCAUGUGUUUUUUCUAGUUAGGUUUCUGAUUCAAUUUCAUCAGAAACGGCAGUCAAAUGUGGCCUUGAGGGGUGCUUUUGAAAACACGGCCCUAGCAGAUUUAUCGCCUGAUGGGUUUCUGUAUUCCUGCCCUCUUUUUUUUUUAAUUUUUUAAAACAUAUUUUAUUGAUUUUUUACAGAGAGGAAGGGAGAGGGAUAGAGAGUUAGAAACAUCAAUGAGAGAGAAACAUCGAUCAGCUGCCUCUUGCAUACCCCCGACUAGGGAUGUGCCCGCAACCAAGGUACAUGCCCUUGGCCGGAAUUGAACCUGGGACCCUUCAGUCCGCAGGCCGACGCUCUAUCCACUGAGCCAAACCAGUCAGGGCUAUUCCUGCCCUCUUAAGUUUCCAUCAACCAGUCUUAUUGUCAUUUCUUUGGAGCUGUUCUGAGACAAAAUGACAUUAGAAAGACUUCGGGAAAUACAGAGCCGGUCCGUGGUUUAACCUGAGUAUCACCAUGAGUUUUCUAGGAUUUGCAAGCCACGCGAAGAAUUCCCAUAUCACUGACUUAGGGACACAUCAUUUGAUGUAGAUUAUUCCAUUCACAAAAACAGUGGCUGGACCUCAACUUCACGCACACCAAUAUUGACUAUACUUCUUUGGUUUAUUUAGUUGUACCCUGCGUUCGUCCAGCAAGGAUUUGAGAAGACACAUAAAAAGGGAAAUUUUAGAAAAGUUUCCUCAGGCCAAAAUGCACAGCCGUCGGGUCCGACACUCUUGGGCCCGACGCUGUCCCUCCAGCCUCUACGUGACUCCAAAGCCUCCGCAGCACCAUCCUCCCCAUCCGAGUUCCAGGGUUCCCGGUCACAGCGGUUUUCUUUCCGUUUCCUGGGAGGGGUGUCUGCGUGGACCAGGCUUCGGAGCCGGAUUCCACGGAGACAGGAGGCGUUUAGAAGCCUCACAAACACGUCCUGAGGUGGUCACCGAGGCUCUUUGACCUUGUUUCCUCGCUGUUCUUCAACCUUCUCACGUCUAACACGGAGACCAUGUCAUCGGCCUGGUGUUGCAGAAGGAAGGAUCAGAAAGGAUGGAUGCCAAGUCCUUCGAAUGCAGUGGGAAGUGAAUACAUGGCAGUUCUUACAGGCCCUGGAAGGCCUGGUAAAGAGUACACGCCAAGUAAGUGUUCACGAAAUGCGAUGAAAUAAAGGAAUGACUUCCAAACCCAAAGUGAGGUGGCUCUGUGUAACUUGUUGGGAAGCAGCUAUUGUCCAAUCACAACAGACCUUAUUUAAUAACGUUGGUUUGGUGACGGUGGCUCCCCUGGGGGAACCACUUGGCAAUUACCUUGAGAUUAGCCCUGGGUUCCCACACGCAGAUGUUUCCUGGUAAGCUGGAGACAAGAGCGGGUUCAAUCGUCUUUCCUCUCUCUACAUGGUUCACAAAGACACCGGGAGCUCAGCUCCCUUACGGAGACGGAGGUACAUCAGAGUGAUUACGGAAAAAACAAACAGACAAACAAAAAACAGGAAAAAAUAGAAGUGGCUGUACAAAGGGUCGGGACUUUGAGGAUGAGGGGAGGAAUAAGCAGAGUAUAUGGAAGCAAAAGAGGAUUGUGCUAGGAGGAAUGUAUUUAAUUUCUAGAUCAAGUGUAUAUUAAUAGUGAUACAAGUGUAAAAUGUAUCCUAGUGCACUAAGUACACAGGCUACAAAGAUGUCAGGCCGGGGUUUAAUGUUCUUGUUUAAUUCAGCCUUCAAACAUCCACAGUGUGUCAAGAGCUCUGGUUCUCCAGCUUACGCCCGUUGUAUCAGACAUUCAUUUGCCUGGGGAUGUGAUUUGACCCAAGUUAUAUUUAACUCUUUGUGAUCGUCAAUCGUGUUAUGACAGCCAAACGGGCUAUGUUUAAGAGACACUUGAGCAGGACAAAAAUAUAUUCGAUUUCAAAAACAUCUUAUAAAAAUAAUUUUCCUGGUGUCAUUGCAUCAACAUAUUGAACACUUUGUGCUCUAAAUUAACCAUCAUCAAUCCGUGAGAAUAUAAACUCCAUGAGGGUUAGGAUAUUUUUCCUUUAAUCCUGCAUUCCCUCCUUCAAGAAUGAUAUAUGAAGUAGGCACUUAAAAUUUAAUUUCAUCAAUGAUAAAUCCAAAAUAAAAAUUAGCAUAUGUGUGUAAAUUCAUAUACAUAUAAACUUUUUAAAUAAUUUUCAGAAUAUUCAAAUAUUAUGUUGGAUUUCUGAUUAUGCAAAGAAUAUGAGAAGCCAAAGAUCCUAAAUACCAGCUUUGAGGUCUUAACACAUUGCUAUACCAACACCUCAUCACCUAAUUCUUGAUUGUUUCCUUGCUAAAGAGGAAAAUGCCGGAUCCCCCCAAAAAUAAAUAAGAACAUUAUUUUUUGUAAUGCUGUGAACAGAAAUUAAAGGUGAUGAGGAAAGUUUUUGUUACCGCCAUGUACAAUGUGGGAAGAUAUAGUUUUUAUUUCUUUCCAGUGAGUACAUUCCACGAGGUCUUAAAUCUUGGAUAGCUGAUGCAUGAGACUAAAAUAGAAUAGAAUGCCAUGAGGAAAACAUCAGGAAAAUUCUUAACAUUUGUCUUCUUAUAUUUUUGGUGAUCAUGUUGCUAACAUUAAAUUUCACUAUGACAUUAGUGGAGAAAAUUGUUUCAUCAAGCUUACACUGUUAUUUUAUUUUAUUUUUAAUAGCUAUGUGUUUAUCUCCAUUUUAUUAUUUAUAUAUUUUGUCUUUUCUUUUUAAAAUAUGUUGA
Molecule: long non-coding RNA, 4225 nt
Organism: Myotis daubentonii (Daubenton's bat)
Lineage: Eukaryota; Metazoa; Chordata; Mammalia; Chiroptera; Vespertilionidae
Exons: 3
Source: RefSeq, a predicted model, not a curated record